CCUACGGGCGGCAGCAGUGAGGAAUAUUGGUCAAUGGACGAGAGUCUGAACCAGCCAAGUAGCGUGAAGGAUGACUGCCCUAUGGGUUGUAAACUUCUUUUAUAAAGGAAUAAAACGCGGCACGUGUGCCUUUUUUCAUGUACUUUAUGAAUAAGGAUCGGCUAACUCCGUGCCCGCAGCCGCGGUAAUACGGAGGAUCCGAGCGUUAUCCGGAUUUAUUGGGUUUAAAGGGAGCGUAGAUGGGUUGUUAAGUCAGUUGUGAAAGUUUGCGGCUCAACCGUAAAAUUGCAAUUGAUACUGGCAUUCUUGAGUACAGGUGAGGUAGGCGGAAUGCGUGGUGUAGCGGUGAAAUGCAUAGAUAUCACGAAGAACCCCGAUUGCGAAGGCAGCAUACUAGACUGUGACUGACAUUGAUGCACGAAAGUGUGGGUAUCAAACAGGAUUAGAUACCCCAGUAGUC
This 460-nucleotide ribosomal RNA is filed under the name uncultured bacterium. Its description in RNAcentral is "partial 16S ribosomal RNA". It matches the Rfam family "Bacterial small subunit ribosomal RNA", at positions 338 to 795 of the family's 1533-position model. The record is from RNAcentral.